This 388-nucleotide ribosomal RNA is filed under the name uncultured bacterium. Its description in RNAcentral is "bacterial SSU rRNA". It matches the Rfam family "Bacterial small subunit ribosomal RNA", at positions 28 to 417 of the family's 1533-position model. The record is from RNAcentral.
GACGAACGCUGGCGGCGUGCUUAACACAUGCAAGUCGAGCGGUAAGGCCCUUUCGGGGGUACACGAGCGGCGAACGGGUGAGUAACACGUGGGUGACCUGCCCUCAGCUCUGGGAUAAGCCUGGGAAACCGGGUCUAAUACCGGAUAUGACUCCAUGACGCAUGUUGUGGGGUGGAAAGCCUUGUGCGGCUGAGGAUGGGCCCGCGGCCUAUCAGCUUGUUGGUGGGGUGAUGGCCUACCAAGGCGACGACGGGUAGCCGGCCUGAGAGGGCGACCGGCCACACUGGGACUGAGACACGGCCCAGACUCCUACGGAAGGCAGCAGUGGGGAAUCUUGCGCAAUGGGCGAAAGCCUGACGCAGCGACGCCGCGUGAGGGAUGACGGCCU